UCCGGCUUAUCACCGGCAGUCCCCUUAGAGUGCCCAACUGAAUGAUGGCAACUAAGGGCGAGGGUUGCGCUCGUUGCGGGACUUAACCCAACACCUCACGGCACGAGCUGACGACAGCCAUGCAGCACCUGUGCUGGCUACCCUUGCGGGUUCAUCCCCGUUUCCGGUUCUUACCACCAGCAUGUCAAACCUGGGUAAGGUUCUUCGCGUUGCGUCGAAUUAAACCACAUGCUCCGCCGCUUGUGCGGGCCCCCGUCAAUUCCUUUGAGUCUUAGCCUUGCGGCCGUACUCCCCAGGCGGUCAACUUCACGCGUUAGCUACGGUACUGAGAAAUCGCUUCCCCAACACCCAGUUGACAUCGUUUAGGGCGUGGACUAC
Molecule: unclassified non-coding RNA, 378 nt
Filed under: uncultured bacterium
Lineage: Bacteria
Description: contains 16S-23S intergenic spacer region
Source: RNAcentral